This 618-nucleotide ribosomal RNA is filed under the name Helvella acetabulum. RNAcentral's name for it is "eukaryotic LSU rRNA". It matches the Rfam family "Eukaryotic large subunit ribosomal RNA", at positions 119 to 746 of the family's 3401-position model. The record is from RNAcentral. Lineage: Eukaryota; Fungi; Ascomycota; Pezizomycetes; Pezizales; Helvellaceae.
AAUCUGGGGCCCCAGGCCUCCGAGUUGUAAUUUGGAGAGGCAUCUUCGGGGAGGGGGCGCGGGCCCAUGUUCCUUGGAACAGGACGUCGCAGAGGGUGAGAAUCCCGUGCCAGGCCGGCUGCCUCCGCCCCAGUGAAGGGCCUUCGACGAGUCGAGUUGUUUGGGAAUGCAGCUCCAAGUGGGUGGUAAAUUUCAUCUAAAGCUAAAUACCGGCGGGAGACCGAUAGCGCACAAGUAGAGUGAUCGAAAGAUGAAAAGCACUUUGAAAAUAGAGUCAAAAAGUACGUGAAAUUGUUGAAAGGGAAGCGCUUGAGACCAGACUCGGACCCGGGCAAACAUCGCGCCCCCCGGGGCCGUGCAAUUGCCUGGGGCCGGGCCAGCAUCGGUUGGCGUGGCGGGACAAAGGCGCGGGGAAUGUGGCUCCCCUCGGGGAGUGUUAUUAGGCCCGCGCCCAAUGCCGCCUACGCCGACUGAGGACCGCGCCGCCCGGCUAGGAUGCUGGCUUAAUGGCCUUCAGCGACCCGUCUUGAAACACGGACCAAGGWGUCUAACAUCUAUGCGAGUGUUUGGGCUUGAAACCCUUGCGCGGAAUGAAAGUGAGCGGAGGUGGGAACCCCC